CAGCCGCCGCGGUAAUACGAAGGGUGCAAGCGUUAAUCGGAAUUACUGGGCGUAAAGCGUGCGUAGGCGGUGAGUUAAGUCUGCUGUGAAAUCCCCGGGCUCAACCUGGGAAUGGCAGCGGAUACUGGCUCGCUAGAGUGUGUCAAAGGAUGGUGGAAUUCCCGGUGUAGCGGUGAAAUGCGUAGAGAUCGGGAGGAACACCAGUGGCGAAGGCGGCCAUCUGGGACAACACUGACGCUGAGGCACGAAAGCGUGGGGAGCAAACAGGAUUAGAUACCCCUGUAGUCCCUGUCUCUUAUAC
This 301-nucleotide ribosomal RNA is filed under the name uncultured bacterium. RNAcentral describes it as "partial 16S ribosomal RNA". It matches the Rfam family "Bacterial small subunit ribosomal RNA", at positions 509 to 807 of the family's 1533-position model. The record is from RNAcentral.